This 465-nucleotide ribosomal RNA is filed under the name Vreelandella stevensii. RNAcentral's name for it is "partial 16S ribosomal RNA". It matches the Rfam family "Bacterial small subunit ribosomal RNA", at positions 338 to 795 of the family's 1533-position model. Lineage: Bacteria; Pseudomonadati; Pseudomonadota; Gammaproteobacteria; Oceanospirillales; Halomonadaceae. The record is from RNAcentral.
CCUACGGGCGGCAGCAGUGGGGAAUAUUGGACAAUGGGGGGAACCCUGAUCCAGCCAUGCCGCGUGUGUGAAGAAGGCCCUCGGGUUGUAAAGCACUUUCAGUGAGGAAGAACGCCUGGUGGUUAAUACCCAUCAGGAAAGACAUCACUCACAGAAGAAGCACCGGCUAACUCCGUGCCAGCAGCCGCGGUAAUACGGAGGGUGCGAGCGUUAAUCGGAAUUACUGGGCGUAAAGCGCGCGUAGGUGGCUUGAUAAGCAGGUUGUGAAAGCCCCGGGCUCAACCUGGGAACGGCAUCCGGAACUGUCAAGCUAGAGUGCAGGAGAGGAAGGUAGAAUUCCCGGUGUAGCGGUGAAAUGCGUAGAGAUCGGGAGGAAUACCAGUGGCGAAGGCGGCCUUCUGGACUGACACUGACACUGAGGUGCGAAAGCGUGGGUAGCAAACAGGAUUAGAUACCCCAGUAGUC